RNAcentral lists this non-coding RNA (271 nucleotides) under Dechloromonas aromatica (nom. nud.). The record is from RNAcentral. Lineage: Bacteria; Pseudomonadati; Pseudomonadota; Betaproteobacteria; Rhodocyclales; Azonexaceae.
GCCGGACAAACAGCAACAGGUGUCUUUGGCUGAUUCAACGGCCAAAGGUGAAACGGGAACGAGGUGCGUGGCGACUCGAUAAAACGAGUGACCACAAUGCCCCGGCUGCCCCCGCAACGGUAAGCGAGUGCGGAAGUGUCAAGGUGCCCCGGCAUGGGGUCACCAGCCACUGGUUCGUCACGUGGCGUCCAUAGGACGUGCGCGGUCGGGCCGGGAAGGCGACACUUCAAGACUUGCCAGCCCGGAGACCGGCCUGUUGCUUGGUGUCGCU